RNAcentral lists this long non-coding RNA (2980 nucleotides) under Triticum aestivum (bread wheat). Its description in RNAcentral is "long non-coding RNA (TAES_LNC001100)". The record is from RNAcentral. Lineage: Eukaryota; Viridiplantae; Streptophyta; Magnoliopsida; Poales; Poaceae.
GUCCUUCCUCCGCAAUCCGCCGCAGAGAACAUCGGAACCCUCAGGAAGCUUCUAGAAGCCGCCCGCGCGGAGCCCCCAUGGAGAAGGAGAAGCAGAAGCAGGGGGCCGACGGCGCCCUCCUCCUCGCGCUGCGCUGCUCCAGGGCGUCUCUCGUCCUCUCCUCCCUCCGCCAGCCACCCCCCUCGACGGCGACGACCCGCCGGACCUCAUCCUCCGUGGUAACCCGGAACGCCGCGCCUCCUCCGCUUCCCCGUGGCAUGCGCGACGCUUAGCUCCGACGCGUCUGUCUUACCGUCGCGCUUUCUCUCGUCGCAGGAGUUCGACCUCCGGAACGCGCGCCUCCUCGACGCCGAGCUCGCGGCGGCGCGGCGCGCGGCUGCCAGAAGCGCGCGGACAUCCGCCGCUGAGAUUCUCUUCGUCGUUGCUCUGGCCCCCCUCCUCAUCCUCUUCGUCGCGCUUCUAGCGGCGGCGCUGGCGGAGGCUGCCGCGGAAGGGGUGGCUUGACCCGCUUGCCGACGACGUCAUGAGAUGAUGCGGCGACUGAACCCAAACCCUCCGUGUUAAUUCCCCCCUUCCGGGCUCCGUAAGUUGACUCUGUUUCUCUUCAGCUGAGAAAGGAAGCUGGUAUCUCGAUUGUGGUACGGGCCUGUUUGGUGUUUUCGGUCUGUACGGUAGGUGUUCGACCAAAUGCAUGUUCCUUCGUAGUUGUGUGCACAGAGUAAGGCUAAGGUUGUAGUGAUAAUUAAGAGAUCAGACGAAAUCAUAGGGUGAUGAAUGGUGCCUGUCUCAUUGAGUUGCAUUGUUCUACUGUUUUCUGAUCGAAUUAUGCUGAUGGAAUGGUAGAUGCAGGGAUAUGCCUUGCAGUGUUGCUGCUUGUGUGCCAUGAUCCAUAGAUUGUGAAAAGGGCACUGGCGAUGAAAUUUCACGAUGGGUGUUAUGUUGCUAGUCUAUGAUUAUUCUUUCAAGUGAAAAGUAAAUGUGUUUGAGCUUAGUCAAUUGUUCAUUGCAUUUAGGCAGCAUCCUCAUCAGGAUCAUGCAUUGCUUUAUUUCUCCUUUGUAUGAGUAAGGGUGGCCCAUGCAUUUGCGCUGCUAGACUUUUCACGUGUUUUACUUUGAGAAGCUGAUAGAAAGGUAGACAUGUAAAAUUAUAGAUAAACUUGUGGUCGAAAUGUAUGAAACUCAUUUGGCAUUGUUUUUUAAUGAACUGCUUGCCCCCUGCAAGUUGCUUAUGUAUUUAACUGUGAAAACUCUCUAGUCAAGUGUUUAUAUAGUUUAGCCAUGUACGCUAAUGUAUUAUCCGUGUAUGUUGGCUUAGAAUUGCUAAAGCCUUUCUCACUAAGGCUGAAUUUGAUACUGGUGUAAAUUAUCAUAAUCUGGUGUUUUCAACAAGCAUUUGUCUACUUACCGUAUGAAUAAGCCACUGUCCUGCUUUCGAGGCUAUUUAUUUAGUUAUAAUAUACAAGGUCAACACAAUGUAAUGUAGCAACACUAAACCGAGCCUAAGGUGAUGGAUGAAUGUUUUCAGAAGUAGGGUUUUUGUUGUCGAUUGUGUAAUGCCUUCAAUGUACUAGUUUGUUUAUUUAUUAUGUUAUGCAACAUUGGAUGAUGUUUAAAAUGUAAUAUCAUGAAUUUCUUACUGUUGAUGCUUUGCAUCAACCAACCAACCUUGCUUCUUAUUACCGUACGCAUAUACAUGUUGAUUAAUAAUUCAGGGUUUUAGACACUUGUGCCACUGCGUGUGCUAGCAUCACUUACUGAAGGUCAGAAAAUUUUGUUGUUGCCACUCUAGCUCUUGUCCGUAUUCCCUAUACCACUCUUAAAUUUGACAUUCCACCGUUGCCACUCUAGCUUUUAACAAUGCUUCACAAUCUGCCACUCUGUAUAGUCAAUGCUCCGUUUUGACCAAACGGAGUAGGGAAAAGACCAUCUUGCACUCAGUUUUUUGUUUUUCUUUUGCCACCAGUUUUCGCCAAUUUUGAUCUUGCCAUUGGAGCAACUUCUGAAUGAUUUUAUUAGUGCUAAUUCAGUCUCAGAUUUUGGCAUGGCCUAUUCAAAAAUCUGACAUCACAUGUAAUUAUACUAUUUUUCCUUUUGUAUGGUUGCAACUUAACUUGAUGCUGUUUUUUUUUAAUAUGCAGUAUGCAAUAUGCAUAGCCUGGUGAAAGAAAUACCCUUAUGAAACCGUGAUACUCGAAACUGGGCGAAGGCCGAUCAAUUUUUUCCAUCAUGAGGAACAUUUGCGUCAUCUUAUUGAAUUCUUCUGUGGUCCUAAAUUUCUGUCAGGACAAAAAGGAUAGCACAAAUUAACCGGGUGUUUUAGAAAAACCAUUGUCUUGGUUUCACGGCGCACAUCCAGUUGCUGCAACCUGAGCCAACUAUACGUUUCCCAGCUAUCCAAGACAGCAUUGUGGUAUCCGCUCAAGCACACUAUCAAAGAUCCAAAACUGCUCUCUAAUGGCCACGGAACACAGCAGCACAUAUUAAUUGCACGUACUAAAGGCUCUGCUUCCGAUUACUUGUGGUAGCACCUGGAUAUGUCAUACAGUAUAUCCUAAGAUCGGCUAAAGUAACAAGAAAAUUUUCUAGAGUGAUGAUAUACAUAAUACCACAAGUUUUUUUUUCACCAAUAGCAACGGUCAGGUUUCAUCGGAUAGGACGAUGGUGCCCCUCUUCAAACACUAAGAAUACCCGAGGUCCGGUUCCGCGGAUCUCUCUUUCUCCCACUAUCGCAUUCCUAAUUGGGAUUGGCAUCUUUUUUUUUCUCCCUGAUGAGGUGGUGCGAGAAAUUUCAGAUGUACUAAUUUCUAGAAGCAUUUGUUCUGAUACUUUUACAUGGGAUCUUCUGUUCACUCUGACGAGCUUCGGGCAAAACCAAUUCCCAAGGUGUGACGGGCGGUGUCGCGAGUUUGCAGAGAUGAGAACCAUGAAAAGCAAGAUCUUGAAUAAGAAAACAGAAACCAAGGAAGAUGAAACGGACACU